UUUAAGCUGAUGAGUCCCAUAUAGGACGAAGUGCGCAUCCUGGAU
RNAcentral lists this non-coding RNA (45 nucleotides) under Trichobilharzia regenti. The record is from RNAcentral. Lineage: Eukaryota; Metazoa; Platyhelminthes; Trematoda; Strigeidida; Schistosomatidae.